This 262-nucleotide unclassified non-coding RNA is filed under the name Athalia rosae (coleseed sawfly). RNAcentral describes it as "misc RNA ENSAEAG00005010339.1". Lineage: Eukaryota; Metazoa; Arthropoda; Insecta; Hymenoptera; Athaliidae. The record is from RNAcentral.
GUAAAUACGAUCGUACUGCCACAUAAAUGUGGACGGUGGAGUUAAUGCAUCAGCUUCCGAAAAUCCACCCAUAGAUUCGGUAACUUUCCUAACCACUUGCGUAAGGUCAAAGAUCGAAAGGUCUGCAGGUGUUGAACUCCUGGUGACGAAUAAACGUAAGUCGUCGAACAUCACGUCCUACGGAAUGUUAUAAUUUCAGCUCGCGAAUUUUCGCUACGGUAAAAACAAAUGCGAAAGAGUUUCACGGGGGGAAAAAACGGUG